UAUAGUAUUUAAAGAGAAUUGAUGGAAAAUAUACUGCAAACUGCAGAAACAAAAACAAGAAUCGUUCAAUUUUGUUACAGUGUCAACUAGUUGGUGAUUCAUUUUUUUUCAACAUUGCUUUUGCAGUUUUUUUAUCAAUCGUCUUUAAAUACUAUUUGUGCCCUGAUUAAAAAAAAUAAUGAGCUGAAGUAAAAAGUAAUAUAUUAUACUGUGGAAAGUGAAAAAGUGUAUUUAUUUUCAAUGUUAAACUGUUUCUUGACAAACUGUUUGUAAGCUACUUUUGGAUUUUAGACCACUGCGGAAUCAUUGGGAACUGCAGAGCCGAUGAGCUCUCACCUAAGGGCACUCUACCCACAUUCUCAUCAUAUUUGGCGCUGGAUCAGUCUUCCUACAAACAUUUGUGACUGUGAGAUCCUUCUGGUCUAGUAUCUUGCAUUGCACACUCCCUCAAUGGCUAGCGGUGUCAAACUGAAGCUGAAACAUGUCGAUAGCACGAACUUUGGCGAGACCGAUAAACUGGUCCGUAUACAUACAUAUCAGUAGGACGGCGGCUCGUGCGGCCAACUCCUCUGCCCUACGCUGUUGCGUCAGCUCUUUAGCGCGCUCAGUCCAAAUCAGUUCUUUUAAACGUUGGAAGCUUCCUUGUACAUUCACAGAGUUCG
Long non-coding RNA from Zeugodacus cucurbitae (melon fly), 662 nucleotides. RefSeq lists it as uncharacterized. The record is from RefSeq and is a predicted model, not a curated record. The transcript has 3 exons. Lineage: Eukaryota; Metazoa; Arthropoda; Insecta; Diptera; Tephritidae.